GCCCGGUCUGUAGGCAUGCAGUAGGGCUGAGCACGGAUCGGGUUCGGUUGGAUUGAGAGAAAAAUUUUAUCCGAUCAAAUCUAAUUAGAUUAAAAAAAAUUCAAUCUGCUACCAACCGUUUAUUAUGUAUAAACCGUUUAAAACUGAAGUGAAUGGCAUGUAGCAGGUUCUGCUGUGUUGUAUCGAUUUGGACUUUAAUGUUGA
Molecule: long non-coding RNA, 204 nt
Filed under: Elaeis guineensis (African oil palm)
Lineage: Eukaryota; Viridiplantae; Streptophyta; Magnoliopsida; Arecales; Arecaceae
Description: long non-coding RNA (EGUI_LNC023277)
Source: RNAcentral